RNAcentral lists this ribosomal RNA (465 nucleotides) under uncultured bacterium. Its description in RNAcentral is "partial 16S ribosomal RNA". It matches the Rfam family "Bacterial small subunit ribosomal RNA", at positions 28 to 507 of the family's 1533-position model. The record is from RNAcentral.
GACGAACGCUGGCGGCGUGCUUAACACAUGCAAGUCGAACGGAAAGGCCCUGCUUGCCGGGUACUCGAGUGGCGAACGGGUGAGUAACACGUGGGUGAUCUGCCCUGCACUUCGGGAUAAGCCUGGGAAACUGGGUCUAAUACCGGAUAGGAGCCAUUUUUAGUGUGAUGGUUGGAAAGUUUUUUCGGUGUAGGAUGAGCUCGCGGCCUAUCAGCUUGUUGGUGGGGUAAUGGCCUACCAAGGCGGCGACGGGUAGCCGGCCUGAGAGGGUGGACGGCCACAUUGGGACUGAGAUACGGCCCAGACUCCUACGGGAGGCAGCAGUGGGGAAUAUUGCACAAUGGGCGCAAGCCUGAUGCAGCGACGCCGCGUUGGGGAUGACGGCCUUCGGGUUGUAAACUCCUUUCGCUAGGGACGAAGCUUUUUGUGACGGUACCUAGAUAAGAAGCACCGGCUAACUACGUG